This 460-nucleotide ribosomal RNA is filed under the name uncultured bacterium. RNAcentral's name for it is "partial 16S ribosomal RNA". It matches the Rfam family "Bacterial small subunit ribosomal RNA", at positions 338 to 795 of the family's 1533-position model. The record is from RNAcentral.
CCUACGUGGAGCAGCAGUGAGGAAUAUUGGUCAAUGGGCGCGAGCCUGAACCAGCCAAGUAGCGUGAAGGAUGACUGCCCUACGGGUUGUAAACUUCUUUUAUAAAGGAAUAAAGUGAGGCACGUGUGCCUUUUUGUAUGUAUUUUAUGAAUAAGGAGCGGCUAACUACGUGUCAGCAGCCGCGGUAAUACGGAGGAUCCGAGCGUUAUCCGGAUUUAUUGGGUUUAAAGGGAGCGUAGAUGGGUUGUUAAGUAAGUUGUGAAAGUUUGCGGCUCAACCGUAAAAUUGCAAUUGAUACUGGCAGCCUUGAGUACAGUUGAGGUAGGCGGAAUUCGUGGUGUAGCGGUGAAAUGCUUAGAUAUCACGAAGAACUCCGAUUGCGAAGGCAGCCUACUAAACUGCAACUGACAUUGAGGCUCGAAAGUGUGGGUAUCAAACAGGAUUAGAUACCCUAGUAGUC